This 1283-nucleotide long non-coding RNA is filed under the name Ovis aries (sheep). RNAcentral describes it as "lncRNA (ENSOARG00000027019.1)". The record is from RNAcentral. Lineage: Eukaryota; Metazoa; Chordata; Mammalia; Artiodactyla; Bovidae.
AUUUAGAAUGGAGGUUCUUGAUAUUUGGAAUGAACCUUCUUGAUUCAGGACAUGAAACAGAGGUUCAUUAGCAUGUUUUAUUUCAUGUUCCCUGUGUCUGGUGUGCUACAUAGCCAUAGAAGCUACGUGAUACAAGUUCAUAGAUGAUAACAGAAUACUUUCUUUUUUUAAUUUUUUUUAAAAAGGGGACACUAAAUUUAAAAUAUUUUUUGCAGGGUUUUUUCCCUUCUCCAUCCCUCAGUUCAUUUCAGUUCAGUUCAGUCGCUCAGUCAUGGCCGACUCUUUGUGACCCCAUGAAUCACAGCACGCCAGGCCUCCCUGUCCAUCACCAACUCCCGGAGUUCACUCAGAGUCAUGUCCAUCCAGUUGGUGAUGCCAUCCAGCCAUCUCAUCCUCUGUCAUCCUCUUCUCCUCCUGCCCCCAAACCCUCCCAGCAUCAGAGUCUUUUCCAGUGAGUCAACUCUUUGCAAGAGGUGGCCAAAGUACUGGAGUUUCAGCUUUAGCAUCAUUCCUUCCAAAGAACACCCAGGACUGAUCUCGUUUAGAGUGGACUGGUUGGAUCUUCUUGCAGUCCAAGGCACUCUCAAGAGUCUUCAACACCACAAUUCAAAAGCAUCAAUUCUUUGGCGCUCAGCUUUCUUCACAGUCCAACUCUCACAUCCAUACAUGAACACUGGAAAAACCAUAGCCUUGACUAGAUGGACCUUUGUUGGCAAAGUAAUGUCUCUGCUUUUGAAUAUGCUAUCUAGGUUGGUAUUAACUUUCCUUCCAAGGAGUAAGCAUCUUUUAAUUUCAUGGCUGCAAUCACCAUCUGCAGUGAUUUUGGAGCCCCCAAAAAUAAAGUCUGACACUGUUUCCACUGUUUCCCCAUCUAUUUGCCAUGAAGUGAUGGGAUCAGAUGCCAUGAUCUUUCUUUUCUGAAUGUUAAGCUUUAAGCCAACUCUUUCGCUCUCCUCUUUCACUUUCCUCAAGAGGCUUUUUAAUUUCUCUUCACUUUUCUGACAUAAGGGUGGUAUCAUCUGCAUAUCUGAGGUUAUUGAUAUUUCUCCCGGCAAUCUUGAUUCCAGCUUGUGCUUUUUCCAGCUCAGUGUUUCUCAUGAUGUACUCUGCAUGUAAGUUAAAUAAGAAGGGUGACAAUAUACAGCCUUGAUGUACUCCUUUUCCUAUUUGGAACCAAUCUGUUGUUCCAUGUCCAGUUCAAAAAGAGACUUACUUUAUGUUUAAAAUGUCCAGCAGUAAGGGUAGAGUUUUUUUUUUCAUCUUUCUUUUCAUGUUUUCCCCCA